Long non-coding RNA from Mauremys mutica (yellowpond turtle), 250 nucleotides. RefSeq lists it as uncharacterized. NCBI's taxonomy places the organism in Eukaryota, Metazoa, Chordata, Testudines, Geoemydidae. The record is from RefSeq and is a predicted model, not a curated record. The transcript is spliced from 3 exons.
GAGAGAAGAACGGAAUUUGAAUGGAGCUUGCAGACAAGCUUUGGAAGCACAUUCCAUGUGUAAGCAACAGGGUGGAAGCACUCUGCACAAGAAUGAAUUUCGCCCACAACAUUUUAAUGCACUUAGACCCAUGACUUGGCUCUGAACACCUUGGCUGUAUAACAAAGGGAUUCUUUCUAGAAGAUGAAAGGUGUCUGAUGGAAUUAGUAGUACAUGCUUUAACUAAGAACAGGUGCUGCACGCUUCUUUC